GGAUCGCCAAGCCCUACUCAAGGGCCAGUUUUAUUUGCAACCGCGGGAAACAAAGCCCCCAUGACGCUGUCUUUUCAGGCCUUCAGGAAUGGCCGAAAUUCCGAAAUUUGUGGAGGACUCUGCCUGGCCCUCGUCGUCUCAGAGGCCGGCCAAGGGCAAUCAAAGGGUGUUUUCGACUCCGUAGGGAUACCUUCUACCCCAAUAUGAUAUUAGUUUGAGGAUGGGCUGCGUGAAGCGCAGUUACACGGCUGAUGUUUGUUGGACACUCGUCAUUUCCAUUUGCAUUCAUCAAUCAUUGGGCUCGAAAGAACUGGCUGAUUCAUCGUCACUGGAGGAUUCACUGCUGCUGCUGCUGUGUUCCAGGGACACUACAAGCCUGCCCGUGUUGGUGCAGUGGCGACAUUUGCACCCAGGACCACAGAUUUUGCCAGAUUUCCGGCAUUUGCAUCGCUUUGAUUCGCAGCUACCCUUCUUGCAGCUGCAACCCUUGGUCAAAGCCAAGACCCGUUGCCUCACCACCUCUGCAUGCUCCUCUAGCUCCCAAUGAAUAGAAAGUGCAUUGUCACACAAAAGCCACCCAUUUCCAUUCAAUGGUGGGCACUGUACUGUGGGUCGCUCAGCCUGGCGCCACAUAUCCAAUACCCAGCAAGCACGUUUCCAGUGAAGAAGCAGGGCAGACGCUGAUGGUACACAAUCAUCUUCCGCAUCAACUCGUUGCCAAACAGCAUCCCUGAUCUUUGACAGCCAGGUAUUGUGCUGGUCGACUGGUGUCUCUGUAGCUUGUUGUUUGAACAAUGCGUGCGGGCUGUUGGCUUCAAAAGCUGCAACAUGCUUUUGAUAGUAUGCUGUGCCCACGAGUCGUAGGAAUGCCAAGUAUCCACGCUGUCCGUUCUGCCUGUGUGUGUCACUCAGCAGUCCCAAUGCAUCCACGCCGCUCGUGAUGAAUGAAGCAUAUUGGAACAUGAUCUUGUAGAAUGUUAAUUUGCUGAUGCCAGAGAAGUAGGACAAGUAGUCACACCCAGUCAGAACGAAUAGUGCUUGCAGUAGCAUCAGACGACUAUCGCUGGGCACCUUGGCCAAAUCUGGAUCGCCAUUGAUGGCCUUGGCCAAUUUGCUUAGGAGCAAAAACUUCCGUUCCGGUGCACCAGGCAUAUCCAGUUGUACAGCUAUACUUCUGUCUGCGACUUCCCGUCCAGAUAGGGCGACAUGAUAGGUAUCCGUGUCUGGACUGUACACGACUACUGGGUCGUUUGCUGCCGCGUGACGCCACACUCGAGAGUCGGCCUCUUCUGCAUCGGACGCAUACACGUCUAGCUGUUUUACCACUGGAUCACCGUACGCUGUCCCAAGUGCCUUGCCAGUGAAUUCCCCGUCCAAGCCACCUCCAGUCACAAAGGCUUGAUGCGGUUGCCGGAGAAAGUGCAGGGAAUUGAAGAGGCUAAAUGUGGUAAUGAAAUUAACUAACAUUCUCUUGCAUUUCCGACAAGACAAGAACUUCCUCCAGCUCUUUGGCAGUGCCAUGUCUCCAGUGAUUGACUCAUGGUUGCAGCACAGCUCUGAUGUGCACAGGGUAGACGCAUCGCCCACGGCAUCACGUUGCUCCCGGAGAAGAUCCUUUGGGCUGACACCAGCUACGUUUGGGUGGUCGAAGACCAGGUGAACCGACUGUAUGCCCAACCUAUACCAAGGCGUGAUCCACCGUUGGAUGAGGAACGUGGCAUAAUCCGCGAAUGUCCGGUACGCAAUCGAUGCUGUCGUUGAGGAGGGCUAGCGCUUGGGAUGCGGAGGAUCCGACUCUCAACAUACGCAAGGUGACGUAGCUGCUGCAAUUGUCGGUGCUGCUGUUGCUGCUGUUGCCUCUCCUGUUGUUGCAACUGGUUUUGCUAGUACCGGUGUGGCUGUUGUGGCUGAACAUGGCGUUGCUGCUGCUGAUGAUGAGGAGGAGAUUUGCGUUGAUGCUGUUACGAUUGGAGCUGCGACUGGCUCUUCUGGUACUUCAGCUGGCUGUGCUGUUGUAUCAGUUUGUGCGGCUGUGGCCGGCUGUGGUGCUGCUGCCACUGCUGGCGACCAUGCUGCAGCUGUUGAUGCUUCCAAUGGCAUUGCUGCUUCUGUUGCUCCUCCUGUUAUUGAUUGUACAUUUGCUGCGUUUACUUCACCACUAGCUGAGGUUGUUGCUGCGCUCUGGAGCUCCUUCUGGGUUCUUCGGCGAGUUCUCUUAGUGGCUGGCUCAUAAUUGCUUGUUGAGCACAGAAACCUGUCACUGUGACCGGGCAUUAGGUCAGUUGGCGAUGUUGACGCCGGACACGUAAUCGGCAUAGGGUUUACGUGUUGUAUUGUGGUGCCAUGGAAACCACGCCGGCUGUCUUCGCAGCUCACUCUUUGCCACUGCAUAUCUUUGUCGAUAUUAUCCACAGACGCAAGGGAAAAUGUAUGCAACAUCAUGUCUUUCUGAACUCCAGCGGACAUAUGUUGGUCAACCAUUGCCAUCUUGUAGCGAUCGAAUGUAUCUCGUCCAGCAACUAUUCCAAGCUUGGCAAGGAUUUUCAUCAGCUCGUUUGAAUGACUAUAAGUCUCCACGGCGUCGCUCAGGAGGGGCGGCUGGUUCUUGCCUCUGCUGUAGAAGAUUCCGUCGCUGCUCCACCAUGGAGUAGUAGAGUGACUGCAGCGUGUCUGACCCAUUUCGGUGAAGCAUGAUUCCAUGCUUCCGGGACGCACCAAGUUUUUUAAUUGAGGCAUGGUGGUCAAGACGAUGUAUCAAACGAUAGAGCAGCCACCUAGCGUUCCUUCCAGUUUGCUCCUUGUCUGCUUCCUCAUACACCUCGUGUACAGUCACCAGAAGGACAGCUCCCCGAUGAAGCAAUUGCUCAGCGGCGAAACGUUCAGCUACCAGCUGCGCAUCAUGCCCACGUGCCAGUGACUGAUCAAUGCUAGUGAUGAGGGACUGCAGCUGGUGAUCUGUGCUGGCCGGUGCGUCAUCACCAGUCCCGCCAAUGUCUCUCAGUAUAUUAAGCUGGGCAUUGUAGCAUGUGGUGCAGUACCAAUCCUCCGGUAUGACCUCUGUCUCACAGUUUACUUGCAGGAAAUGCUGGAUUGAAGGAAAGUUUGGUGACUUCCGCCUCGGUGGUUGUAGGCGCUGUUUGCACAUUCCGCAUGCAGGUCUAUUGUAUGCCUGGUUAUAAUGUAGGUUGCACAUUGGCUGCUGGGAUGCAUCAUGGCAGUGCAUUUCACUCUCACAGUCGUCAACACUGCACAGUGGCUUUGCCGGUUUGCCGGCUGCUCCUCGCUGGCAGCCAUUUCGCAGUGCCUUCACGCAAGGCCAGCAUACACAUGCAGUAUUUGGUACGGCUGUUGACAGCUUUAUAGCUUCCCAGUCCUGUAUCAUUUGUGGAUGUGUAAACUUGUAUGUUGGCUGUUUGCAAAUUGCGCAAUCUGGACCGCAUUGCUGACCAGGAUGAAGUUUAUCUCCAGAAGUUGUUCGUCCCAUUUCUAUUAUUGAAAUUGGCCGUUUCCUUUCAUUAAUUAUUAUUAUGGUGUGAUCAUUGUGCCAUUGUUGCCAGCUUCCAUCACUGUUUUUGUAUUAUUUUCCAUUGACACCAUACACCGAGUACUGAAAGAGGUUCACCUUCUACUCAGUACGAGAGUAUAGUAUUAUUAUGACUGUAUGACACGAAUUUCCACUAAAAAUAUGGCAAGC
Molecule: RNA transcript, 3694 nt
Organism: Sycon ciliatum
Lineage: Eukaryota; Metazoa; Porifera; Calcarea; Leucosolenida; Sycettidae
Exons: 5
Source: RefSeq, a predicted model, not a curated record